CUUGGACGGUACCUAACCAGAAAGCCACGGGUAACUACGUGCCAGCAGCCGCGGUAAUACGUAGGUGGCAAGCGUUGUCCGGAAUUAUUGGGCGUAAAGCGCUCGCAGGCGGUCUUUUAAGUCUGAUGUGAAAGCCCACGGCUUAACCGUGGAGGGUCAUUGGAAACUGGAGCGACUUGAGUACAGAACGAGGAGAGUGGAAUUCCACGUGUAGCGGUGAAAUGCGUAGAGAUGUGGAGGAACACCAGUGGCGAAGGCGACUCUCUGGUCUGUAACUGACGCCUGAGGAGCGAAAGCCGUGGGUAGCGAACAGGAUUAGAUACCCUGGUAGUCCACGCCGUAAACGAUGAGUGCUAGGUGUAACGGGGUUUCCGCCCCUUAGUGCUGAAGUUAACGCAUUAAGCACUCCGCCUGGGGAGU
RNAcentral lists this ribosomal RNA (420 nucleotides) under uncultured bacterium. RNAcentral describes it as "bacterial SSU rRNA". It matches the Rfam family "Bacterial small subunit ribosomal RNA", at positions 467 to 881 of the family's 1533-position model. The record is from RNAcentral.